Molecule: long non-coding RNA, 4225 nt
Organism: Gasterosteus aculeatus aculeatus (three-spined stickleback)
Lineage: Eukaryota; Metazoa; Chordata; Actinopteri; Perciformes; Gasterosteidae
Source: RefSeq, a predicted model, not a curated record
GCUGAGACAGUGGCAGAGCGCGCCAGAGGCAGAGAGGAGGCAACGAAGGAGCAGCUCUGCUCCCGACUCUCCAUCCCAGAGAAGUCCGAGAGGAAGAAGACCGAGAGAAGUCCACGGUCCCGCCCGGCCGCUGCAUCCCAUAAGCUGCCUGAAGUGACAACCAAGACGUCCGCCGCGAGGUCAAGAGGACAUGAUGAGCCAUGAAGAUGUUGGUUGAACCUCAGACAACAAGACUUAACACAUGGGAUCCUUCGGGAGUUGACGCACAGACCUGCGACAUGGGGAGCCUGAACCCUUCCGGUCAUCUUCCCCCAACACAAGAGGAUGUGUUUCAGAUAACCCAGUGGGCAGAACAGCACACACCAACGUGAACCCUCGCUCAUCUCAAAGUAUCACCGGAUCAUCUGUUUUGUAUCAAAAGUCUUACAUGAAAGUAUUCUGCGCAGCUCAAGCAAUUCCUUGCAAAUAAAUGUAGUUGAAUCAAAAGUAUAAUAUGGUCUUCUGAAAUCUACUGGAAGUAAAGUACAAUGGGUGGGAGGGAUAUCCAGAUAUUAAAAAGAAGUAUAAAAAUGAAGUGAUUUGCUAUAAUGACACAUCAUUAUUUAUAGUCUGACAGUAUUCAAGUUAUUUACUUAAGUAAAAGUAGCCUAAGGAUACCGGGGAGAUUUACUUAAAGUAACAAAAGUAAAAGCACAAGUACUUAAUGUUGCACCUGGUUCAAAAGCGACCAAUGUUAUCUACUUUCUUUAUUAUGAUGUAAAUUAAUUCAUAAGAAAGCAUUGUAUUUUAUAAGACAUCAAAUCUUAACAUGCAUAAUUAUGCUGGCAAAUAGAUUCAUUUUAUAUUUUUCAAACGUAACGCUGUUUAAGGAGACGGUACUUAAUUGCAGUAAAAUGAAUGUUCUGUUAAUGUUCUUUCCACAGGUGAUGCAAUAGUUUACCCUAACUUGCCAUCAUUAUCUGUUUCCUCUUUCUUCCAAAAUGUAUUGCAUCUACGUAGAAUAUCAAUCUCCUCACUGCAUCAAACUGUUCUUUUUAGGUCAAGUGCAUUGAAAUCCAACCUGUUCGCUGACAAAUGAUUGGGAAUUAAUGUAAACUGUUGCCUCACUACUCACUCCUGGUACCAUGAGGCCUCAUUGAGCAGUUGUGCUCUUCUUUCCUCUCUUCCGUGCGUGUCAGCUUUCCACCACCACCAUCUCCACCUGCACCCUCAGUGCACCACAGUUGCAUUAUAAAACUUGUAUAAGAUCAUUAGCAUACAAAGCAGGAAACCUACUGUGUCAUACAUAUUUAUCUGGAUGUGCCUGACUUUGGCGCGCAUGCACAAUCACACUGUAACCCUUUUACAACCGGGUGAACUGUCUUUCUGCUGAAGGAGAGCUGCGAACAGACACUAUGAAGUGGAUGUUACCAGAAGCACGUACUGUUUUAAUGGAUAGAUAUUUAUUCAUGCAACAUCUUGAGAAAGACAAGCUUACAUUUGCCAUAAACUUCACAUUAAAACAUGUGCAGCUGCUUGCGAGAGCUAGAAAAUGUGUUUAUUUGGAAACAGAGCAGAUGGAGUUUGGUUAGGUUCAUCAGAGCAGUUUGCUUUGAGCAUAUCAAAUACAGUUUACACACAGAGGAAUUUCGGUCGAGUAAUGCCUGCAAUACAUAUUCAUCUGCUGCACUCAGAAGCACGUAAUCAAACAGAGAGAAAUACAGAGGACAUGGCCCCUAUAAAUACUUGUAUCCCGUGUGGUCUACCCCUGACUUUUGAAUGACUAUGAAAUCAGCUCAAUUUCUCAUUCCCUUCCUCUUCAAAUCCUCUUUUUUUCUACUAUUACCAACUAUUCUACCUUCUUGAUGAAAGCAGAAGUCCUCCGUUGAUUAUAUCCACCUGUCUCCUUCUCUUCCCCACCUCCUGUGAGAUUGCCGUCGUGUCUUAUGGCUUUUUAUUCCUACGUGAUGGUAGAUGGGUUCAUGUAGGAGUAGAAGCCACUAAACACGCGGUGAGUGCUCGACAUGCUGGCCAGCACACACAGCGAGCUUCCUGUGGCUAUGACUGCUUCCUGUGGAUACGACAGCUGCCACCUUCUCGCCCAUUAUCAAGGAUAUGCCCAUUAUCAAGAAUAUGCAAGCGAAAAAAGUAGUCCGCGCUAUAGUCGCCGCAGGGAGUGUGUACUGUUUCAGGUUAUCAUUUCAGACCAGAUUUGUAAUGUGAAAAAUGUUAAAUUAACCUAAUUGAACAAUUGGUUUUAAGACAAUAGAGCUGAAUGGUGCUUUUCGUGUGGGCUGACAAAUCAAUUUUGAGUUGUGAAUAGACCUACUUUUUCACAAAGGCUUCCCACCUGAAUGAUGGCUGCACGUGCCCUGAAUUUAAAACUCAUUCCUGCAUUCCUCUGCCCCGAGGUUGCUGUAUAAAACUGGAGCUGGACAGCUCUCCAAAAAAGAGAUCAGGAGGAGCGGAUACCACAAUUAAAACGAAACAACUUACAGAGGUAGGUCAUCUAUGUUGUUUGUUAAUACGCCGAAUGUGAAGGGACCAUCUCUCCUCCAAGAGUGACAACAUACAGAAAGUGUGAGCAGAAUGUAUCACCCAUCAAUCCCGCUGUCAAUAAAAAUGUCACCAAAUUCUAUACAUGUUCUAUUUAGAAAUAUGUUGUUGCUGUCCUGUGAAAACCCUGAAUCUCCAAGAUGACUUGUGCUAAGCUUUGUAAUGUUUAUAUUUCUUCAAGUAACACGGUUUCGCUUUGGGUUAGAAAUCUGUUGUGUCUUGGUCUGCCAUAGAAAUGCAAGUUCAAUAUUUGGUCAACUUUUAUCUCUGUUUUAGUCUCCACCCGGUCCAUAGACUAAUAUGUUGCUGCUAGAUGCUGCAACACGUCCAUCCGCUGGUUGCUGUGUAUGUCUGCAGUUCUGUAUGCAGUUAGUGUUAAAUCGGUUGGCAAUUUUCGUUAUUCUCUGGAUAGCACUACAUAUUUGUUUUGUUAUUUUUGUCAUUUCACAUGAACACCUGUUUUUUAGUCAUCCGUUUCACAUGAGCUCUUUGUAAGGACUCUGCUUAAUUAGACCAACACUGUUCUUGUAAAGCUUUCAACACCAACCUGAAAAUGGAACUCAGCUCAGGGCAAAUCUCUGUUCAAUCAUAAAUUAGGUCCAGAACAAGUCAAAAGGGCCUAUAAUGGUAUUCAUCAGCACUAACUUUCUGCCUGAAAUAAACUUGGCACCAACCAAUUAAAAAAGAUAUUGAAAUGAUCCUGCGCGUGCUUUGUCUGGUUGGUGCUGUGGGAAUUGGGUUUAAAUGUCAUCCUUCUGUUUCUAUUCGCUGUAAAACAGCCUCCUGCUUUUCUCCUCCUGAGCAGAGACUGAUUAAUUUCUAAAUGUGUAGUUGUUGUAAACCCAGAACUGAAUAAUUAAUCCCGGGAUAUUACGACAAAUUGACCAAUGCUUGCAAUCGUGUGACAUUAUAUAUUUGUCGAUAUGAGGGGCAUAAUUAUUCAAGGUGGAAUUGCAUUUGAUAUGGUCUACUAAGGCUUAAUGAUUUAUUCACAGCUGUAAAUUGUUAUGAUCUAAAAUUCAUCGGGGUGGAAUGGAAAGUUUCUUUUGCUUGCAUUUUUGGAUGAAUUUAUAUUUCAGGUUCUCACUUCAACAUAUUCUCUUAAAGAGAGGAAGUCAAAAAGAAUAGUCGAGCAGCAAAGACACGUGAGAGGAAGCUGAGAGGAUUCGAUUCAGGAACAGUAGGGGGUCCAUGGAAAUCUAAAAGUUCCCAUUCAAUCAUCAUCGUAUCUAUGAGACAGAGCCUGAAUUAUUUAAAACAGCUUAGCAUAUGAAGAGGAAGUUAUGUUUCAACACAUUGUGGCCAUCCGCUGUUUCACCCGAGAUUGUGUUCUCAUUUUGAUUGUGCUGUAACCCUCAUAUCCUCAACGUGUUUGGCGAAAACAGUUUGGGGAUUUAUAUAACUAGGUCCUCACGUUAUGGAACUUGAUUGAGCUGUACAAGGUCGCAUAAUCCUCAAGUUUAGGUAAAAACAUACAAAAUGUCAGAAAUGGAGAAAUGGGACUUUCAUCUGACAGCUGCAAUAAUGAAGCAUGUUUGUGUACAGUAUGUGUAUGAGUGCUUAGCUACUGUAUCCACCUCCCUCAGGCUGCACUUCAGUAAUAAAUAAUGCUCUUUAGUGUUCUCUGCUUCAUUUGUUUUCUGUUGUAACGUCAGUGCUGCUCAAUAAAUUAUAAAUCAAGCCUGUUCAA